RNA transcript from Manihot esculenta (cassava), 1665 nucleotides. It is a transcript of the gene named nucleoside diphosphate kinase III, chloroplastic/mitochondrial, with no coding region annotated. NCBI's taxonomy places the organism in Eukaryota, Viridiplantae, Streptophyta, Magnoliopsida, Malpighiales, Euphorbiaceae. The record is from RefSeq and is a predicted model, not a curated record. The transcript is spliced from 8 exons.
ACCCGACCGUAAGGCGUGAGCUGACCCAUGUUUCAACCUUAUAUGCACACAACUCAACUUUCACUGUCUCUCACUCUUAUCAGCUAUUGCUCUCGCUCCUCAGCCUUCAUACCUCUUUCGCUGUCUCCACACCUCCGCUUUAUUCUGUCUUCCAGAAACAUGAGUUCUCAGAUUUUCAGAUCUGCCUCUAGAGCCGCCAGGUCUCUUCUCUCUGCUUCUAAGACCUCCCGCUUCUGCUCUGAAGGAAGAACUGUAGCUGCAGCAGCGGCAGUUGCAUUCAGUGGAAAAGCGCCUUUUCUAGCUUCGGCUUUUGGAAGGACUGGUUCUGCUAAUGCUUCUAGACAAUGGAUUUCGGGAGCCCUGGCAAUUCCUGCAGCAGUUUACAUGCUCCAAGAACAAGAGGCACAUGCUGCAGAGAUGGAGCGCACUUUUAUUGCAAUCAAGCCUGAUGGAGUGCAGAGAGGGCUGAUUGCAGAAAUCAUUUCUCGUUUUGAGCGUAAAGGGUUCAAGCUUGUGGCAAUUAAGGUAGUGGUUCCUUCAAAGGAAUUUGCUCAGAAGCAUUAUCAUGAUCUGAAGGAAAGACCUUUCUUUAAUGGUCUCUGUGACUUCCUUAGCUCAGGCCCUGUUGUUGCCAUGGUCUGGGAAGGAGAAGGGGUGAUUAAAUAUGGUAGGAAACUCAUUGGGGCCACAGAUCCCCAGAAAUCUGAACCUGGAACUAUCAGAGGUGAUCUAGCCGUUGUUGUUGGAAGGAAUAUCAUCCAUGGAAGUGAUGGCCCGGAAACCGCCAAGGAUGAGAUUAGCUUGUGGUUCAAACCAGAUGAAUUAGUGAGCUAUUCAAGCAAUGCUGAGAAAUGGCUGUACGGAUUCAACUGAUGGAGAUAUUUGUUCUCGGGUUUUCUUCGGGAACUUAGGUCCCACAUGUAGGGUGGGGGAGAAUCACAAUUGUUAGAAUAAGAUUGUUCAUUCUGAGGUCUGUAUGUAAUAAAUACAACAGGGUAAACCUAGAUUGACAGACGAAGGACGGUGGAAGGUCCGAGAACACCAUGCAUGUCUGAAUAAACACCCUUCGACGAGCAACAAUAUAACAAGCAAGCCAUCUAUAGAAAACAAAAAGAAAACUCCAAGCCCAACAAACAUGAAAAACACUUUCGCCCAACACAAACCAUAAGAAAAAAACAAACAUAGAAGGCUAUCCUCAUAGGCUCAUCAUUGAAAGCCAGUAUGGAAGGACGCAACUAUGGAAGGACCAAAUUCGAGACAAUCUGAAUGCAGGUGUUUAUUUCAAUAGUCUUCGCAAAAAUCUGACGGCAAUCAACUAGAGUAAGGAACCAAAUGUGGCAGCAACCCCAUAACAAGGCUAUCCUCUCAAAAACCAGACACCCAUCAACCCAAAAUCUAACAAAACUGUAGAAAGCCACACCAUGCAAACCGCCCGAGCAAAGCAACUAAACCACUAUACACAAAAUUUGACCAAGAAAAACUCCAAAGGCGAAGCCUUCUCCCCAUUGGAAUAAAACCUAGCUUCUCCUGUGAUAGAGAGGAAAGGAAAUCGACGAGAAUUGCCUUUUUUCUGCCUUCCUUUCUCUGUCUAAGCAACUCUGUUUUGGUUAGUAUAUUUGACAAGUUUUAUUAUUUAAAAUUAUUGACAAGUUUUAUUAUUUAAAA